RNAcentral lists this ribosomal RNA (599 nucleotides) under bacterium enrichment culture clone F61x_D64_T3_H08. RNAcentral's name for it is "bacterial SSU rRNA". It matches the Rfam family "Bacterial small subunit ribosomal RNA", at positions 322 to 914 of the family's 1533-position model. The record is from RNAcentral. RNAcentral also lists the same sequence under 1 other name.
AGACACGGUCCAGACUCCUACGGGAGGCAGCAGUGGGGAAUUUUGGACAAUGGGCGCAAGCCUGAUCCAGCAAUGCCGCGUGAGUGAAGAAGGCCUUCGGGUUGUAAAGCUCUUUUGUCAGGGAAGAAACGGUAUGGGCUAAUAUCCCGUACUAAUGACGGUACCUGAAGAAUAAGCACCGGCUAACUACGUGCCAGCAGCCGCGGUAAUACGUAGGGUGCAAGCGUUAAUCGGAAUUACUGGGCGUAAAGCGUGCGCAGGCGGUUUUAUAAGUUUGUCGUGAAAGCCCCGGGCUCAACCUGGGAAUGGCGAUGAAGACUGUAAGGCUAGAGUGUGUCAGAGGGGGGUAGAAUUCCACGUGUAGCAGUGAAAUGCGUAGAUAUGUGGAGGAACACCGAUGGCGAAGGCAGCCCCCUGGGAUAACACUGACGCUCAUGCACGAAAGCGUGGGGAGCAAACAGGAUUAGAUACCCUGGUAGUCCACGCCCUAAACGAUGUCUACUAGUUGUCGGGUCUUAAUUGACUUGGUAACGCAGCUAACGCGUGAAGUAGACCGCCUGGGGAGUACGGUCGCAAGAUUAAAACUCAAAGGAAUUGAC